This 527-nucleotide ribosomal RNA is filed under the name uncultured archaeon. RNAcentral's name for it is "bacterial SSU rRNA". It matches the Rfam family "Archaeal small subunit ribosomal RNA", at positions 325 to 856 of the family's 1478-position model. The record is from RNAcentral.
ACGGGGCGCAGCAGGCGCGAAAACUUUACAAUGCGAGAAAUCGUGAUAAGGGAACCCCGAGUGCCCGUAAAUUCGGGCUGUCCGCCAGUGUAAAUAACUGGUGAAGAAAGGGCCGGGCAAGACCGGUGCCAGCCGCCGCGGUAAUACCGGCGGCUCGAGUGGUGGCCACUAUUACUGGGCUUAAAGCGUCCGUAGCUGGAUUGUUAAGUCUCUUGGGAAAUCCAUCGGCUCAACCGAUGGGCGUUCAGGAGAAACUGGCAAUCUAGGGACCGGGAGAGGUGAGAGGUACUCCAGGGGUAGGAGUGAAAUCCUGUAAUCCUUGGGGGACCACCUGUGGCGAAGGCGUCUCACUAGAACGGCUCCGACAGUGAGGGACGAAAGCUGGGGGAGCAAACCGGAUUAGAUACCCGGGUAGUCCCAGCUGUAAACGAUGCGCGUUAGGUGUAUCGGUGACCACGAGUCAUCGAGGUGCCGAAGGGAAACCGUGAAACGUGCCGCCUGGGAAGUCCGGUCGCAAGGCUGAAACU